CUCAGAGGAUUCUGUAGCCUUUGCCUUUCCCUUUUCCUUUUUCUUUUUCUUUCUUUCUUCUAGAGCUCUUUGUAGUUCAGCUUCAGAUUAUUUUACCUUGCUUCUAAUGGCUCUUCCAUUAGGAAUUAAAGGGACAGUAGGUUCUGGGGAUUAAGUUAUGCUUUUCUUGGUUGGCUUGGAAGCAGUUGGAGCUUUUUGUGAAGUGGUUU
RNAcentral lists this long non-coding RNA (209 nucleotides) under Nicotiana benthamiana. Its description in RNAcentral is "long non-coding RNA (NBEN_LNC020864)". The record is from RNAcentral. Lineage: Eukaryota; Viridiplantae; Streptophyta; Magnoliopsida; Solanales; Solanaceae.